GACGAACGCUGGCGGCGUGCUUAACACAUGCAAGUCGAACGGAAAGGCGCGGCUUUUGUGGGGUGCUCGAGUGGCGGGCGGGUGAGUAACACGUGAGUAACCUGCCCUUGACUUUGGGAGAACUUCAGGAAACUGGGGCGAAUACAGGAUAGGAGCUCCUGCUGCAUGGGGGGGGUCGGAAAGUUUCGGCGGUUGGGGAUGGACUCGCGGGUUAUCAGCUUGUUGGCGGGGUAGUGGCUUACCAAGGCUUUGACGGGUAGCCGGCCUGAGAGGGUGACCGGCGACAUUGGUACUGCGAUACGGCGCAGACUCCAAUGGGAGGCAGCAGUGGGGAAUAUUACACAAUGGGCGGACGCCUGAUGCAGCAACGCCGGGUGCGGGAUGCCGGCCUUCGGGUUGUAAACCGCUUUCGCCUGUGACGAAGCGUGAGUGACGGUAAUGGGUAAAGAAGCACCGGCUAACUACGUG
Molecule: ribosomal RNA, 468 nt
Filed under: uncultured bacterium
Lineage: Bacteria
Description: partial 16S ribosomal RNA
Rfam family: Bacterial small subunit ribosomal RNA
Source: RNAcentral